AAAGUUCUACAUUAUCAUUUUGUUCAUCUCACCUAAAAUAUGUUGUUUGACGUGAUAUUAGUUGGAUCCAGAGCUGGAAUUUGAUCCUCUUGGUCUACUUCCAAACGCUGGUGUAGUAGUUGUUGUUUCCCAGAGAAUGUCGUUUUCACCAUGUACAGAGUUCCCAUGUUUUGAGCCGUGUCCUCAAGCUCAAGCCAUAUUACACUGUCUACUUCGGCAUCUUCUUCAGAGAGACAAGAGGGAAGAAGCUCUACGCGUUGCUCAAUUAUCAGCAGAGAAACCACAUUUUUCUCAUUGCCUGGAAUGGCUUCUAUUUACAGUUUUUGAUGCUGAUAUUGGCUAGGCUUCCACCUGGACCCACUGGACCCACUCCACCCACUGGACCAUCAUCUUGAUUAUGUUGUGUCUUUGUAUUUUGAAUACUUGAAUAUUUCUAUUAUAUAUUUGUGAACACUUGAAUAUUUUGUUAAGUUAUGACUCUUCGAAUGCUAAUUUAAAUUUCA
This is a long non-coding RNA of Salvia miltiorrhiza (redroot sage), 503 nucleotides long. RefSeq lists it as uncharacterized. NCBI's taxonomy places the organism in Eukaryota, Viridiplantae, Streptophyta, Magnoliopsida, Lamiales, Lamiaceae. The record is from RefSeq and is a predicted model, not a curated record. The transcript has 2 exons.